Molecule: long non-coding RNA, 534 nt
Organism: Pseudophryne corroboree (corroboree frog)
Lineage: Eukaryota; Metazoa; Chordata; Amphibia; Anura; Myobatrachidae
Exons: 2
Source: RefSeq, a predicted model, not a curated record
UGGAGAGACGGAGUGACCCUGCCCCCUGGGCACCCGGGCGUAUGAGCGUCAGCAGGGUGCAUGGGCAGUUAGUGACAGUUGGGCGUGGCGUGAGGAGAAGAGGCAUGAGGCAGCUGCUGGCAGGAGGAGGCGCACACGGCAUAGAGAGAGGGGCGCCCCCAGGGGGAGCCUACAUCUGUAACAGAGGCAGAAGUGCUGCUGAACCACAAAGCCCAGCCAGGGGUAGGGAGAUGGACGCUGUAGUGUGAGGCUGAUGGUGAAACGAACUGAACUGGCAGCAAGUCCAUCAUCCUCUGAGACAAAAAAGCAAGUCCAUCAUCGUCUCAGACCUUACAGCCACUGAGCUCCUUUGUGAUCAAUAAGUGUUAUCUAGUUUCUAGGGGAGGGAUUCACAAUGAGUCACCAGUUCCUUUGUAUAUGCUAAUCAGGUUCAGUCUUGAAGACAUCCAAAGGGCUGGCCUGAGUUUCCUGUUCAUUACCUGUUUGGAGUAUCUAUUGUUCUAAUAAAAGUGAUUUUAGCUUUUAUACAUUUAA